This is a long non-coding RNA of Aedes albopictus (Asian tiger mosquito), 23724 nucleotides long. RefSeq lists it as uncharacterized. Lineage: Eukaryota; Metazoa; Arthropoda; Insecta; Diptera; Culicidae. The record is from RefSeq and is a predicted model, not a curated record. The transcript is spliced from 22 exons.
GAGUUUUUCGGGAAGUUGUGAAAAUUUCAUCAAAAUUCAUCGAAAAACAAAAAAGUUGUGUCCAUUUUUGUGCUUUUGCGAAGGUGGAAAAUGUAAGUUGGCUGGAUGAAGGUUAAUCUACGCAUAAUCACAGACUGGUAUUGCAGAUCAUCGGCAUGUCAAACUGAAAGUAAAUGUUUAUUCUUACUCAAAACCCAUGACAAAAUUAAUCUAGUACUGCACAUUGUAACAGACACAAAUACAACCUGAAAAGAUUCGUCCCCCAUUAAUAAAAGCUAUGAAAUCAAACAAAACGUCUGCUAAUCUAGUACUGCAUGUUUUUCUAUCUUCCGCUACUGAUCACUAGUUUACAUUUCUCUGCAGCCACGGAACUGGACUCUAAACAACCACUGAUGGUCCUUAGUAGAGCCGGCACGUUGCAGCUUCGCUACAACGGUCACACAUUUAACAAACAUGUAACUCGUGGCGAAAAAGUCUACUGGAGAUGCAGUCAGUACCUGGUGUACCGGUGCAAAGUGCGCAUUCAGACCAUGAUGGAUGAGUUCUCCAUCAGCAAGAAUGACCAUAAUCAUCCAGUAGUAGUGCGGCCUCGCGCGUACGGAUCGCUGAAGCUGUUGAAGCAACGGUUGGGCAACAUUAGAUCGUGAUACUGAAUAAAUAUGACGAAAGAUCUACAAUUUUAAGGUUUAUGAUACCGAAAUUCUCUCGCAUUUUUGUAUUGUAACAGUGCACUCAGCCGAUCAUCUCAUUCUUGUCUUCUAAUCGAGUGAUUCUAAUUUUAGCUGCAACGUCAUUCGCCCUACCAAUCAACAGACCAGACUUUGAGUUCCGAAGAUCAACACAACGUGGCACUCACUUGCUGAUGGUCAACGGAGUGAAGUUCUUUCGCAAUCGCCAGCGAAACGAUAAGCAUUACUGGAAGUGCCAUCAGUACUAUAAAUGCAAGUGUCCCUGUACGGUCGUCAUCAAUGAGACCACGUCCAAUAUCACUGUAAAGUACAGACACAAUCACGACGAAAGUUUGACGUCAUUUGAUUCUAGUACUACAGCAGCUCGAGUUUAUCCAAAUAAGCGCAUCAAAUAAAGUUUUUUUGCAAGAUAACAUGUGUUUUGUCUUGAUAAUAUUUCGCCUUUUGGUCAUACCUUACCAUUUCUAACCGUCAAACCUACUACCUUUCAGAAAUCUACUUCACGAAAUCGAGCCGAGGCCGUCCGGCAAUCAUUAUCGAUGGCGUCAAGUAUCUGUUCAUGUCGGAGAAUCACAAGCGAGUAGUUUGGCGGUGUUCUUCAAUGGCCACCAGCAAGCUCAAGUGUCCAGCCCGGAUAUUGCAGUACAAGAACCCUGAGCGCUUUGUCAUUCACCGGGAAAAGCACAUCCAUGCGCCUCUGAAGCGUCACAAGGUGGCUUUCAUCGCUCAAGAAAUGUUCACGGUUUUGGAUUGAGAAGUACGUGUCGAUAUCACAGCAUGUCGUUUGGAAAUAAAUUUUAUAGUUUUAUCCCUGUGCGUUUGCUUCGACCGUUCUAGUACUUCGUUUUGGAAAAAUUUAAAUAUUCACGCUUUACUUACAGUUUUGCAACUUUCUUUGUAGAGUACAAGCACCAUCUGUCCGUGACGAGCAGUAAUGGCCAGGUGCUUACCUAUCGCAGCAGCCAGAAAGGUCGGCUACAGCUGUCGUGCGAUGGAUUCUACUACGUCAAGGAGAAAACCGUGAAGCAGAAGGAGUAUUGGCGCUGCAUCUAUUACACCACCAAGAUCAAAUGUCAUGGGCGAUUACACACCUUGAACGGGGAAAUUCACCACAGUACGCCCCACAAUCACGUGGCCGGAGUGUUCAAACGAUCCGACUACAAUCGUCUUUCGGAAAUUAUGAUAAAUACGGAAUCGGGUAUUGCCGGGCAGCCGUCGACACAAUCUAUCUGUAUAGAAAGUGUAACUAAAGUCGAACGAUACUGAAAAUAAAUCUUUAAGUUUAGUUAUAAAUAUUUGUUUUGGCUUCGGAGUUGGUUGUAGAGCGCUACUGAAGGCGAACCAAAUCGAAACCAAUUAGUACUGACUUAUUUGUUUGGUUCGCCCUAUUUUUAGGAUCCACCACAAUGACGGUGAUGGACACGUUGGACGUACCGGCUAUCGAGUUCAGCAGAACGCAGCGAGGUCGCACCAUGCUGAUCUACGACGGGUACAAAUACGUGGAAAAUCGUCAGAGCAACAAGAACGUAUUCUGGCGCUGCUCAAAAUACGUCAAGUAUGCCUGCCGGGCGACCUGUGUGACGUCCAAGAGCCCGAGUGAAUGUCCUAUUCGGCUGGCUGGCAAUGCCCACUCGCAUGGGCCGGAAAAAAUGUCGGACAGUGACAAAAUUGAACCCUCCGAUGAAUCCGACAUUCAGUUCCGGUUGAUGCAAUUGUACUAGAUACGCUUGUUGAUUGAAGUACUAGAUUUUUAUCCGAAAUGCAACUAUUUAUUGGAAGUAAAUUCGAAUUUCUGAUAGAUACAAUUUUCUUGUACUUCAAAUUGAACGUUGACAAAAUGUGCUUGCAAUCAUAUUAAAAAAAUAUGGACAAAACAUCAGUUACCAGAAUUUCCAGUACGGAAAAUGUAAACACGCCAAUCUAGUACUACAUUUUGAUGAAAAUUUUCUUUCGAAGGUAGUUUAUCAAAAUUCUGAAUUGAAAUCUUGUCAUUAGCGGUUUAAUUUCUAAGCAGAUGAAUCUAGUACUGCAUCGUGCUGUUUAUAUUGAAAUAAAUUUUCGCAUUUGCAGAUUUGAUUAAUGAUACUCGUUUUGAUGAAGCUCCACCUGUUGGUAUCUCAAUAACGAUCUUCUGUACUUUCAGUAACAAACCAUUUCGUGACAGCAAAGUUUGGAUACACUCAACGGGGACACGUGAUGCUAAUGUACAACGGGUACGGAUUUAUCAAAGACCGCCAAACGGCGAAGACCUGCAACUGGAAGUGGUCGCUGUUCCGAAGGAUGAAAUGUCGUGGGCGAGCCAUUACCAAAAUCGCCGACGGUAAGCACAUGAUGAGGAUUACCCAUGAGAAACACACGCACAGUCGGGAUGAGUAUCGAAAAGAGAUGUAAGGCACGUAAUCAUUAAAAAUGCAAGAAGCUGGAGCCGGAGGACAAACCCGAAUCAAUAACAAAGUCAUACUAGCGAGGCGGACAUUAGUAGCAGAAUGCAAGUUCUCAAAUACCAAAAGGUGAGAACUUCGCGAACAAUAUCAAUGCCUAUGUAACAUAUGUAUUGGUCAUUUCAUCAUUUCAUUUUCAUAGGACACGAUCGGUGAACUACUAGAUUUAUAGUGAUGAGCUGAAUUUUUGUAUGUGGAGAAGGUCAAUUCUCCGUUUUUGCAAUGAAAUGGAUCAAAAAGCGUGGGUAUAAUGGUUACUUGCGUAAUUUGGUGCUGCUUGAACAAAACUUUGGAUAACUGCGUUAAUCGAGUUGCAAGAAAUGAAGAAAAGAACUACACGGUUACCCACGAUUUUUGCACCAAUUCUUUGCUAAAACGGAGAAUUACACCAUACAAAAAUUCAGCUCAUUACUACACAUCUAGUACUACACCGAACGUUUUUGGAUUGAUAAGAAUCUCCCCUGGCUUCGCUGCAAAUACUGCAAGGUUGCCAAAAUGACUUAUUUUUAUCCAAGAGUUUUUAUUAAUCACAUGGAAUUCAAAAUAAAAACAAAUGCAUAAUCUUGCUAGAAUGAUAUUUUAACAAGAAAUACUGAUGGGGGAAAAUGAUCGUUUAAGCUAAAAAUAUCACAAAGCCUGCGAAAAAUAUAUCUGUAGUACUAGAUUUUUUUUUCCCCGAGCUUUAGGGCAGCUCAGUUCGGUUACACCCAACGUGGAAAGAUGAUGCUCCUGUACGAUGGUUUCGCCUACAUCAAAGAUCGUGAUGCCUGGAACAGCUACAACUGGAAGUGUUCGUUGGCCGGAAAGCGAAAAUGUCGCGCCAGAGCCGUUACCAAGACGGCCCUUGGACGCCAAAUGAUGAAAAUUACCAACCCCAAUCACAACCACGACCGAAAAGCGUAUCGAUUCGAUACGGUGAAUUUGUUUUCCGACAAGAAAUAAAAUUAUCAUUUGUGCAUUGUACUGCUUAGUGUUUCAAUCGAUAAUUAUACUGCGGUAGACAUCUCUAUGUGACUUUUGGAGCUAACUGUAUUCUUCAUCAUUUUAGAACUAUUCGCUAAUGCAUACUUUGGAAAAACUCGACGCGGUCACCAAAUGCUUCUGCAUGAAAAUUACAGCUACGUGCGGGAAAAGCAGAAGCAAAGUACAACCAACUGGAAGUGCUCCUGGCAUGUCAAAUUUCGCUGUAAGGCGCGAGCAGUGACGAAAGAAAUCGAGGGUCAGCAUUUUGUUCGAAUAACCUGCGGUUUCCAUACCCAUCCUCCGAACAAUGGCUCCAAGUCUGGUGAUGCGUCGAAACACUACCACGAGAACUAUUAGACAGUGGAAAAUGGUACCAUGGUAAACUACGACCACACACUGGCUCUGUUCAACCGAAGCAUUUGAAAUUAUUUUGUUAAUCAUACAUUGCCAGAAUAAACUUUAUAUACAAAUUGAAGCUUUUUACACUUAUACGAACAUCCGUUUGUGUUGAUCUAGUACUUCACCAUGUAAACUUAUUUUUGACACUCAUACGAACAACCCUUCGCGUCGUUUAAUCGACUGAUCUAGUACCCCAUCAUGUAAAAUAAUUAUCUUUCCCUCUUUUAGAUGACAUGCACGGCUUCUCGCAACGGGCUCACUAUGAGUUCACGUCCAGAGGAACGCAAUGUCUAGUAUACGAUGGCUAUUUCUACAGCAAAAACAAAACAAACGAGGGUGGCGUCCGGGUCAACUGGAAGUGUCGUUACUACCAACGGUUCAAGUGCAAAGCACGAGCACUCACUAAAACAAUCAACGGCUGUGACUAUGUGAAGGUCUCCAGUACGGAGCACACCCACAUGCAAGAGAUGUACUGUCAAGACCUACGACGGAAGCGACGUAGAGCUAUGCACACAGGAUCAUUAGACUAUCAUUUCCUGGGCUGAAGAUCUGUGUGACCUAUAAUAAAAAUAUCUUUGUGGAAAACAUGUUCUUUGAUGACUCUGAUUGCUUGUUCGUUUUAGCUAAGCUAGAUGGGACAGAUUAUUUUUAUGCUGAUUUAUUUGGCUGUUUUUAGGAGGGGCCGACAAAACAGCGGAUCUGGAAAUGGCACAGUUUGGAUCAACCCAGCGGGGGCGACCCCUUCUAGUACAUCAAGACUACACGUACAUCCGCAAUGGAGAGUUUGGCGGCACAAUCAAUUGGCGCUGUUCGGCCUACCGACGACUGAAAUGCAAAGCCAAAGCCAUAACGGUCAAGCACAAUGGCGUGGAGUUCGUAAAACUAUCCUAUGCCUUACACAGCCAUGGCCCCAAGACUGGAAGCGAUCAGCAGUGGAAGCAUGAGUCGGAAACGGUUGAUUUCCUGCGCUGUGAAGAGGAUGAAGAAGCCAUGAUUAAGUGUUUCUUAGAAAAUUGAGAUACGUUGAAUAAAAACGACAAACUUAGAUGUAUUUUCUAUGCAUUUAUUUUCCAUUCUAGUACUACACCUGAGUGUUUGUUGUCAUUCACAUUAUAUCAUUUUAUCUCCUAUACAGGCAACAUUAUUUAUGUGCUGUCGAAACGAGGCACUAAGCAUCUGUUCUUCGAUGGCAACACGUACACACCGAAUGAGAGACCCUAUCCCGGGCAGCGUUCUAGGACGUGGAAGUGUACGUUGUACUACCGAUUGAAAUGCCGAGCCCGUAUCGUUACCAGUGAAGCCAACGGGCUACCCAAGUUGCGUGUGGUAGUAGCCGAACAUACCCACGAAAAGCUGUUUCCCCAUUUGAGCGAGAAAUUCCGAAGUCUAUUCUAGAUCAACGAAGACACAUACCAAAAUCUAGUCCAUCACCGAUUGAUCUCUAUUUUACUCUAGUCUUAUUAAAUCUUAUCGAUUUAGAAAUAAAUGUUCGUGUGCUUUGAUGAUCCGAGUGUUUGGAAGGUUUCAGCUCGUAAUCCUUUUGUCAUGUGUGGUCAGAAGAAUCUAAUCAUUACUGUUUCUCAUUUACUUCUAGACCCGUACGACUGGGGUCCGCUUAGUGCGAUUCGAUUCGUUCACUAUCCGAUUAAAAGCAAAGUGAUAACGAAACUUUUCCAUCAAGGGUUUUCGUACUACCGGAGCAAGCAGGUUAACCAGGCCACCUAUUGGGUGUGCGAUCGUACAAAGCAAAGCAAUUGCCGAGCUCGGAUCACAAUUUUCGAAGAUCAAAGAGUGUACAAAGUGACAAACUCACAUCACACACAUGACCCAAUGUAUACAAAGCUUUGUUUCUAAUAAAUUCGAGUAACUCAUCAUCCCGUUCUACUACUUCAUCCUUUCUAUUGAUUAUUUUUUAUUAUUAGUGUUGAUAACUUAUCUAUCUUCUAGAAAUAAAUUACAUUCCGCCGACUUCGUUGGUUGCCACCAUCAGACCCGACAUCAGUGUAGUACCAGAACAGUAUUUGGUGAAACUAGAACAAGAGAUUCACAUUUCCACCGUGGUUGGUCAACGAGGCAACACAAAGUUGCUGAUCGAAGGAUACACGUACAUUGUCAACAAGAGAAGUAACGGAAAAUGCUAUUGGGGUUGUGCUAAAGCUGUACCCUUCCGUUGUCGCGCCCGACUGAUAACAGAUGACAUCAACUUCUACGAUGUGACGUUCAAAAAUCUAGUACACAAUCAUCGGCCGAACGAAACUAAACGACGAUAAAAACUAACAUCAGAUUUCUGGAUAUGAAAUAAAGCCAAAUUCUUGAACACUAACAGUUUUCUAUGUUUUGUGAAGUACUAGAUUGAUUUGUCGAACUUUUUUUGCUAUCAUCUAAUUCGUUUUUAAAUCUACUUUCAGUGAAGAAAGCACGCCUGUCGGGAGUGCUGAAUCUGGCUGCAUGGACAUUUACACCCGGACAACGAGGUAAACCCAAGCUGGUGAUCGAAAACAAUUCCUUCUUCCGCACCAAAGGGGACACCCAGCGCUCGUACUGGUCCUGUUCGGCGUACAAAUCAAAGAAGUGCAAAUGCAAAGUAGUAACCCAUCGGAAUAGUUUGGUCGUAAAGUACACUCACAAGAGUCAUACGCAUCCGAACGAGUACAACGAUCUGUCCAAGAUCAAUCUGAUCGAUGUGGACAUCAACGAGUUUUACGAUAAACCGGUCGGCGGUGCCGCCUUUGAAGUGAAGAAAGAACCAUCCCUUUAAAUGUUGUUGUAUAGGAUUCCGAAUAAAGUGUCUGUUUUGUAACAUAAGCUAGAUCGGUAACCACAAGUAGUUCUUGAGUUUAAAACAAAAAUAGAAUAACUCUAUUUUCCUAUGAAAUUGUAAAAGUUUCCCCUUUAUUCGUUUAUAGGUAAAUCAAGAUUUUAAGGAAUUAUAACCAAGUGACCGUGUACGCCCAUGAUGGUUUUGGACGGAUACAAUCAAUUUAAAAUACAAUCUUGCCUUUUCCAAAUAUCAGUGCUGAGAGGUUAUCCCUCUACUAACAAUUGCAUACUCAUUUUUUUUUUUUAGAAAAGAAUAACUACGGAGCGACGUGGAGCGGACCUGGUGUGAUGGUUAGAACACAUGACUAUCACGCCGAGGACCUGGGAUCGAAUCCCACUCCCGACAAAACUCACAAAAUGUGGGUUCUUCCUUCGGAAGGGAAGUAAAACGUGGGUCCCGAGAUGAACUAGCCUAAGGCCUAAAAAUCUCGUUAAUACAGAUAAAAAAAAACUACGCAGCCCAGUUUGAAUUCGAGGGCAGAGAUGUGAUGUGAGAUGUGAACUCCAUACAAAAAUAAAUAUCAUCGUCUUAUUUUUGCAUGAUUCGUCGAGAAAUGGUGAGUCUUUUUUUACGCGGUUUUUUGAAUUUUGAACUGAGUUUUUUUACGCGGUACGUAUCUCCCGCGUAAAAAAAACCUGACUGUACGGUUUCCCCAAGCUGCGCCUGGAUGGGUACAUUUACUUGCGCAAUGUCAAAAAGAGCGGAAAAGUCUACUGGGUGUGCGAGCGAGCAAGGAAGACCAAAUGCAAGGCACAAGCUAUAAUCUAUCGAGGAAAAAUACGUAUCAUAAUCAACGAGUUCGACCACAAUCACCGACUGGGGAAAAUGUAAAUAUACGUUGACUUUGCAUAAAAAAGGCAAAAAGUACAUUAUCUCAUGAUGAUGCCCUUAUCCCCCUGUGCGGCAUUCAUAGUGAACAGCUGUAUGGUACGAAUGCAGAACACAAGCAAUAAGCGUUAAAAUUUUGGUUCAUUUCUAAUGAUAAAUCAGGUUCAAAGACCAUUGUCAUAAAAUUGAUGUCAUGCAUGAUAAACAUCGAUUAUCUCCUAUUGAUUCAGUCGUGGCUAUACACAAUGAAUAUCAUUGCAUUCAUCGUGAACACCAGUAUAGCGCGAAAGUAAAACACUAACAAUGUCCGCUAAACAUCCCAUUCAUCAAUUUCAGAUAAUACGAUUUGUGUUCCGUUUGAUAAUUCGGACGUAGCAUUCACCAUCAGUAGGCAGGGAAAACCGAAAAUGAUCUUCAGUGGCCACACUUACCUACGGAACAGCAGCAACGCUCAGAAGACCUACUGGAUAUGUGCUGCGGCCCGAGAACGAAAGUGUCGAUCCCGUGCCAUUACAACCAAAGGCUUGCGCCACGUAACUAUAAGAGAAACGGCGCAUAAUCACUGACUUUGUGAACUAUGGCAAUAUCAAUAAAUAUAAUAGAUAAAAGUUGUUAGUUUUGAUUUUAUCAACUUUUGCAUUCGAAUAUCUGUAUGGAUUGCCAAACUAAUUGCCUUCGGUGUUUGUUUCAGACCCAUCGCGAAAGUACAAGGAGCUGGUAUUUGUUAGCGGUUUAAGGGGAACACCGAAGCUAAUCGUGGAUGGGUAUUCGUUCAUUCGCAACAAAGGAAAUUUCCGGACCACAUAUUGGCGCUGUUCGAAGCUUCGUACGAUGGGUUGCAAGGCCAAAGUAAUAACCUCUCAGUUGGACAACAAGGUGUCCGUUACCGAUCCCGUUCAUUGUCAUAUGCCCGACUAUCGACAAUAUAUCUGAAAUUAUUUGUUCAAUAAACAGAAAAGAAAAGCAAGAUGAUGAUGAAACUGCCUUAUUAGACUAUUGGGUGGAGCUCCUGGCGGAUAAACCGGCGGUAAAUUUCACUUACGUCACCGGUCAGCGUGGAAAACCGAAAAUAUUGUUUGACAAUCAUACCUACAUUUGCUCGAAACAUCUGAAAAAUCGCAAAUACUGGACUUGUGGCAAACAACGAUCGCAAGCGUGCCGGGCACGUCUUAUCACCGAUUCGGACAACACGAUGCUGCUUGCACGCCAGCUUGAGCACACCCAUCCUCCCGAUAUGGACAUUAUCACAAAAUCUAUGUUGUACAGCCAGAAAUAAAUCGACGCGUGGUUUAAAGUUGAAACAUCUAGUACUUCGUGUUUAGUUUAUUUUACUUCAAUUUGUUUUCAAAUUCUUGUACCAUUCGCUAACAAUUCCAUUGUCUUUUUCAGAUAUUAAUUCGCUCAUCGAGUUCGAGUUUAUGACUACUCCCUCUCCCACGCCGCUCAAAUCCCCUUCUCCUUCGACUCAAAUCGCUAGUCGACCAAACAGAUCUAGGCGCCAGCGUAAAGCCGAAUCAAUCGUAUUGGACGAUCAACCUUUGGUGCUGUUCACAUCACAACGGGGGAAGCACCUUCUAGUGUUGGACAACUAUACUUUCUCCAGGAGCAACACCGUUGGAGAAACGACAUACUGGGCGUGCCGAGUGGUUACCGAUCACGUCAAGUGCAAAGCCCGAGCUAGUACUACUCGCAAGGUUAAUGGCCUUUUUAGAGUUAUGCUUGGUAAUGCGACACAUAACCACCUGCCAAAAAUGUCACGCAAGGUCCUACUCGAAUGCGGUGUCGAGCCCAAUGUGUUUUAUUUGAAGAGUUGAAUAAAGUGUGUAUUGAAUGCUUGUUUAUGAUUUUUCCAACUUCGGAAUUUCUUACUAAUACGUACUACUAAUCAGCGGUUAUUUGUAUUUCGUUCUAGUAAUGCAAACUCAGAUGACAUCGGCUGGUGUCAGGAAUAUUCGGAAGCCGAAUGCAGGGAGAGCACGUAAAUCAAAACCGGAUAAUAUCGACAUACCAGAAAUAUUGAAGGGACCUUCGGAGAAAAUGAUUUUGCAAACAUGCAUCGUCGGUGGAAUGAAAGUCUUAUAUCAGAACAACUACUUCGAGUAUCAUUAUUCCAAAAGUGGAGUGAAACUCUACCGGUGCGCUGCUUUUGCAGAUUUACAAUGUGAAGCUCGAGUCCUGGUGCAGAACGGGCUAGUUUAUUCGAUUAACGGAGACCAUUGUCAUUUAAAUGCUGAACAAUAAACGAAAACUGUCCUUUUAUUAAUCAAACUACCAAUCAGUAUGGACUGCAGUACUAGAUUUGAUAGUUCUCAACGUUCUAUUUGAUUUUUUUUGUGAAUAAUUCCAGGCGAUCUAUUACGAUCAAUGAAAGACUACAGUCAAAUUCAAACUCUAUUUGAAAUGCCACUUCCGGAGAUGGCUGGAGUGUCUGUACUGUAUCAGCGUGAGCCAGUCGAAAAAGCUGGCGACAAAAAACGUAAGCAGUAAUGGUAAUAUUCCAGAUUAUUAGGAAGAAGAAUUGCCAACCAAUUUCUUUUAUUUCAAAUUUCAAUCAAUAUUUACACGACAUCAUCACUCAUACUGAAUAAACUAUCACUCGGAUCAGGAUCGCAUGCCAAAUCGCUUCCAGGGACAAUCUCGAAACCAAAGUCGCACAAGUCGUUAAAUGUACAGCAUAUCACUGCUACCGGGACGCCCUACGAUUUGGUAAACGUUCCUACCAAGAAGGGUGGUGUCGGGGUUCAGCACGAUGGACACCACUUUGAGUACCAUUUUACUCGCAGUGGACAUAAGAUUUACCGGUGUGCGUGGCACUUGAAGGAACGGUGUCCAUCGCAAUUGUUGGUGUUCAACAGAAAGACCUAUGUCAUUUCUGAUGACCACUCGCAUACAGAACUGGCCCGAAUGAGUGAGGACAUUUUGGCUAAGACAGUAGCCUGUUAGUGUAGUCUUCAAAACUCCACGUAUUUUAUGUGCGUUUUUCCAAAUAAAGCAUAUUUUUCAUUCACAUUUAAAUUUUCAUCUAAUUUUGUAGUACUAGUUUUGACAGUUUUCGCCAUGGCAUUCAUAUAACGUCAAAGUUCUCUUUCGCUAUAGUACCUAUCAGCAGUGCGCAAUUUGUGAUGAGUACCAAGGGAUCACCACAGCUCUGCAUCGACGGAUUUCCAUUCACACGACACAUCGUGAAGGAGGACACGAUCUACUGGAGAUGUAUACAAUUCCGUGCGUUGCGAUGUCCUGCAAGGCACCGUCAGCGACGUUCGUCCGGAGCGUUGGAAGUUGUUUGGGCAAAGCACAAUCAUGGCAUUCUGGAGCGAAGGAAACGUGGCACAUUGCGAGAUAUUCUACUACAGCGCCAACGGAUGAACCAGAAAUCCGCUCCAUCUGAAGUGAAACCACAACCGACUACUAGCGCUGAAAAUGACAAGCCAAUUCCGGAAGAAACAUACGCUGCGGAAUAUCUGCUAGCAGAGCUAGAGGAUUUCGUUUUAAAAAAUGACUAAUCGUGAAUAUGUGGCAUUCUAGUACUUCGUCAAGUGUGCGAGAACACUGUUACUGUUAUUGUUCGCGAUAUAUUUAUCAUUGCUCGUUCACCGUUGUUUCUGGACAUUGUUGAUUGUGCUUAAUAAACGCACUUCACUUGUUUUGCACUAGUACUUCGUCAAGUUGUAGAGCAUUUAUCGGUAUCUCUGCCGACGCAAAGCGAGAUAAAAGCCAAUAAAUUUUUAUUUACACAUAUUUUGUUUUAUUCUAGUACUCCAUCGUACUCCAGAUGGUAUUGAAGGUAGAAUUCCUGCUUAUUUAUAAUUAUUUAUCCACUGCAGGUCAUGAAGCCGUUAUCCAUUACACCAUGAGCCGAAAAGGAACGCCCCAGCUGGAGAUCGAUGGGUAUCGCUACACGAGACAGAAAAUUUGCAAAACCACAAUUCGAUGGGAGUGCCUUCAGACGAAAGCGUUGGCUUGCAAGGCACGAGCCACCACCAGUAACACCCCGAAGGGACUUGUGCAGUACUACAACAACACACACAACCAUCCACCAUCCAUGGAACGGCGGAAGGCUGGCGAACUGCGCAAAUUGAAACAACAAACGGCGGAGAGGCUGAAGCUUUUACAACCCGAUCUUUCGGAGAUCCAUUACAAUGUUUAGAUAGUAAUAUACAAAGCCUGACAAUCUAUUACAUAAAGAUAACGUUGACGACAACACAUAUGUGAUACUCUGUAAAUAUUUUAUCAUAUGCAUCGGUGAACGAUAAAAGGAAGGAUCACCUAAAUAUGUAUUUGGUCAUUUGUCAUUUCGCCAUCCGUCUGGAGCCCUUUGCAAUUAAUGUUGAAACACUAUUAAUUGAAAUAUUCUAGUACCUUAACAUGUUUUCAUCGUUCAUAUUUUAACCAAUUUCGACGUUUUACAGAUAGCACCUAUUCGAACAUUCAGUAUGUGAUGAGUUCGAGAGGAGCGCCCCAGUUGGAUAUCGAAGGGUUUCGCUUCACAAGAAAACAUAAAGGCAAACAGGCUAUCCAGUGGAUUUGCGUGCAAAACAAAGCCAUCCAGUGCAAAGCGCGAGCUACUACUACGUCGCGAGGGAUGAUGCGUCAGCUGAUCAACAUCCACAAUCAUCCUCCUCAAAUGCAGCGACGGAAGGCGGGUGAGCUGCGUGAGCUGAAGCGCCAAAUGGAAGAACGGACAAUGUUGUUGUAUGAUUCCGCUAUGUGAACAUAAAUCACUAGAAAAGUAUAUGUUGGGGCGGUUUUCUAGUGAAACUGGCAACACUGGACAAAUACGAAGAUACUCGAGGAGCACGCAAUUUAGUGUACAGUUGGAAGUAGAAUGCCUCUGUGAAGAUUUUCUGUUUUCCAGAAAAGUAUAAACCUAGAGCUAAUUAUGUUUAACUUAUGCAGUACUAGAUUCUUAUUUGUUUUCGUCAUACGUCAUAAUUCAUCAUUAAUUAUUUUGCUGAAAUUCAACAAUGGAAAGUUCAAUUCUGGAGUUAUCUGAAACGCCUCUGAAUUGAACUAAAAUGUUAAAUAACUGCGACGUAUACGACUAAUCGCUAAAUAAUUCCCAUGGUUCAGUUCUAGAUUAUCUCCAGACGGGACCGCUUCCACCGAUCCACUACCACACGACGAAAAGAGGAUCUCUUCAGCUGGAAAUCGACGGCUAUCGAUUUACAAGAAUGAAAGUGCUGCAAACCACCAUUCACUGGUCUUGUUUACAAACAAAGGCACUUCGCUGUAAGGCUCGAGCCGUUACCAAUAACGACCUGCAGGGUACUAUUCGAAGAUGUUAGUCGGUUCGAGGCAAACUACGUUUCCAGUAGAAAAGGAACUCCUCAGUUGAUAAUCGAUGGUCAUUGCUACAGCAGGCAAAGGGUUCGCUUACGAACUAUUCGAUGGCGUUGCGUGCAGUUUAAAGCUUUACAUUGCAUGUCACGGGCGACAACCGAUCGUCAGAUCAUUUCAGUCGAUGGAGCACACAACCAUGAAGUCAUCAAAGAGCGGAGGAAGAAUGGCGAACUUCGAGAGCUGCUGGCCAGGCGACAUGCUGAACGAACCAGCACCUGUGUCAAUUUAAAAGUUAAAGAUAUAGACAGUUGAAUAAAUCAGUCUUUGUAUGCUAUACUAUUUUCGCUUUUUAUGCAGUACUAGAAUGUGGCAGUAAAAUAAUCUGUGAAGAUAAAUUGAACGUUCCAAUCUUCUAUACAGAUUGCUACACAUACGAAGAGCUGGAUGUGCACGCUAAACUGAGCAAGAGAGGCAAGGUUCAGCUGAUGAUCGACGGGUUUUCGUUUUCGCGUGAAAAGGUUCGUCCGCAUACCAUUCGAUGGAUUUGCAAUCAAGCAUGGAUUUUGAACUGCAAAGUUCGAGCUACCAGUGAAAAAAUGAGCGGAAAGCUUAUAUCGGUCCGAGGAGCGCACAAUCACGGCGUUGUCAGCAGUCGACGAAAGUGGGGUCAAUGUAAAUUCAUCAAAGAACAACGCGAGAGGGAUUCGGAGCAGUCAGUGGAACCUCCACGUAAAGGAGGAAGACCCAAAAAACAGCUGGAGCAAUGGCAACUAUAGACUGUGAAAGUGUAAUUUCUAACAAUAAAUAAACUAUUGAUUUAUUCAUUACGUGCUUUUCUUUAGUGUGUUUUAAUGAAGGUUUAGUUAGAAAAUUUUAUCAUAUUUUUUUUCCAGGCAACUUUUCGUACGUAAUGAGUCGUCGAGGUACGCUGCAGUUGCAGAUCAAUGGUCAUAUAUUCACUAGAUCGCAGGUCCGCGAAAAAAUAAUAAUUUGGGUUUGCAGUCAAAGGAGAGCCCACCGUUGUAAAGCUCGAGCGACAACAAGCCGUAAAGAGGGAAGCGCUAUGAUUUCGCUGAGAGAGGAUCAUACUCACGAUGUUAUUAGCGGACGGAACGUUCGUCGAAAAAAGAUUGUGCCGACUUCUGCAGUUAUUCUUUCCGCCACGGAAUCCGACUUGGAAUAUGAUGAAUACGAUUUGUUAUGAUAAAUAUAUAUAUUUGCAAAUCAUACACAUAUUCUUUUCUCAAUUGUUAUUCUAGCUCUAAAAGACGAUUUGACAAAGUCUUAAUUUUAUGUGUUUCAGUUCCGAAGGACGUGGCCUACAUAAUGACGAGCCGUGGAAUACAACUAACGGUCAACGGGUACAUAUUCUCUCGUCAAAAAGUCUCCACGCACUGCGAAAUGUGGCGCUGCAUGCUUUCGUACUCUCAUAGGUGUCCAGCCCGGGCAAGCACGUACAAACCACGAAACGGUCAGGGUGCUCGAAUUUCUCUCCGAAACCAGCACAACCAUCCGAUCGGCGCGACCAGCCGCAAGUAUAAGAAACUAGCAGUAAAUAAAUCACCCAAGUUGCCAAAAGCUCUCAGCGUAAAUAAACCAAAGGCUUCAACGGAGCAGUAACAGUAUAGUUAACAUUAACAUUCGCAUCGCAAAUAUAAGAUUUAAAAAAAUCAGUGUGAUCCUUUCCGUAAAUCAGUGACAUAUCUUUCGUGAUGACCAGAAGGGGUCGAAUGCAGCUGUCUGUCAGUGGAUAUCUUUACACCAGAGAUAAAACACGAGGGGAUUCACAGUUUUGGGCGUGCAACCAAUCAAAAGUGUUGAACUGCACUGCACGGGCCACUACACACAAGGUGCAAAAGAACGGCUCACCGAGAAUAACUCUACGAGGACAGCACAAUCAUGAAGUGAUCACAGAACGACGAAAAUCCGGAGCGCGUGCCCGUCUGAUCGAGAAAUGCCGGAAAGAACGUGGUCUUGUACCUUGAUGUCAGUAGGAAAAUGGUAAAUUUUGAUGAAUAUAAUGUAAAAUUUGCGUAAUUGAAUUAUGUUUAAAGAUGGAUCAACUAACGUCAUAAUAUAGUACUACCUUAAUAACAAAAACAUUUUGAAAUAUUGCAGAUAUUAUAAAGUUUUGUUCUUACCAAACAAGGGACACCCAGCUAUUGAAAAAUGGAUUUAUGUACAUGAGAGUCAAGGCUCUAGGAGCAAUGUUCUAAAGUGAAUGCCAAUUCAAUCACAUGAUCAUCAACGAUCGACGCCAAGCCGGUCAACGAGCCAAACUUGUGGAGCAAUGUAUUCACGAAAAAUGCUUGAAGCAAUAGCGGUGACAUAUAUUCUAGUACUUUAUCGUUUCAAUGAUAUUAAUAAAUGCUAUUACAUUUUGAAUGCCUAAUGUGUUUUGCUCUAGUACUACAGUUAAAAUGCGUUGCAAUUCUCAUUACUAAAAAAUUUUCCCAAUAAUUCAGAUAUCUCAUUCGUCAUGAGCAAACGAGGUAAAACUCAACUUUGCGUCGAUGGAUUUCUCUACAUGCGUGUGAAGGCUAGCGACGAACUUCAGUACUGGUCGUGCAAUCAGUUCAGGGUGCUUGGCUGCACGGCUCGUGCCACAACUGGAAGGGGGAAAAGAGACGGCAAACCGAUUAUCAAGCUGCGCGGCUUUCACAACCACCGGAUUAUUAUGCAGCGUCGAAAACCUGGCGAAUGUGCUAAAUUGAAAGAGCAAUACGCCCGUGAACGAGACGGGCUACCAGAGAGGACUAAACAUGCUGUACCAGAACAAACGAUGUCAUUAUCAAUACCAUCGGUAUCACAACCGUCGCUUUUACCAAUGGCACAGUGCUUUUUGAAGCAAGAAAAAUAAAUGUGAAUUGAUGAUGUAUCUUUUUUCGGUAUUCUAUUACUUCGUCGCUUAUAUAUCGAGCUGAUAUAAUGCGAAGUACCGUGUCAUUUCGGGAGGUCUGUAGUAAGCAAUAGAUAUUAUUAUCAAUAAACUUAAAAACGUUGAGUUAUACUUAAGAUGUUGCGAUCAGGGUUUACAAGAAAAGUUAAUAAUCACACUAAAUCGCGUCGUGCCAUAAACGAUAAAUAUCCACAAGUUGUAAUAAAUUUAUAAACUAGAAAUCAUAAAUUGUAGAGUGAAACAUCAUAUUUUUGUUAUAAAUAGAAAAAAAAAGUCUGUUGUAGUGCUACAGAAAGAAAAAGAAAAUUCAAAUUAUUCUCGUUCAAAGCUAUUUCUUAAAAAUAUGCAAUGUAUUUCGAAGAAUUUUCACCGAAUCGUACACACAUUUGACAUUAUUACAAAUCUCGUUGCAGUUGUCUGUCCAGAGGAAAUUUCCUUCGCAUUGAAUUACCGAGGAACGCAGAACAUGGUGAUUCGGAACCACUUCUUCGUUCGCAACAAAAUUUCCCAACGGUAUCUUUUCUGGAACUGUGCCCAGCAGAAAGCUCUAGGCUGUCGCGUUCGAGCUACAAUGCCACGACCACCCAACAAAGGACCUGUCAUAUGCCGAGGGGAACACAAUCAUGAAGUGGUUUCCGAACGACGAAAGCAUGGCGCUCUCAGAGAAUUACUGAACAAACGAAAGCUAGAUAAAGAGCAGUCGAGUACAAAGAGAUGUUAAAGACAUGUAGAAUAAAUAAAAAUUAAGUGAAAUUACUUAUCAUAUGUCUUUUUAGAUUUGAAUACUCAAAUUUUUCAUUCCGGAGAUUUAUUAUGUAUUGAUGUAUUACAGAUAACUAUACCAGCGAUAAUGCAUCCGGAAUGGAUAUAUGUUACAUGGUGACAGCUCGUGGAACAACUCAGCUGGUUGUGGAAGGAUAUCCGUUUACCAAACUCAACGAACGGGCUCAUAUGACGUUUUGGGCGUGCUGUCAAGCUAGACCUUUAAAUUGCAAAGCCCGGGCCACAACAUAUCGCGCUUCGAGGGAUGGAAAAAUCACGUUCAGAGGAGAGCAUAACCAUGGCAAAAUCCAUGAACGGCGCAAAGCGGGUGCGCUCAGAAAACUACUCGAGCAACGUGACAAAGAGAAAGCUAGACAAAAAUUGUUGAAAUCAGUGGGGAUUGUGUAUGAAUAAAAGAGCCACAUAAAAUGAUGCUGUCUUUUGUCUAUCGUGAAGUAAAAAUGGCAUCAUUGCUUGAUUCUAAAUGUCAUAAGUAGUGUUGCCAAAUUUUCUAAUCUGAUUCAUGGUUUUAAAUAAACUAAAAUUGAGAUGUGUUUAGAAAUCUAGACAUUCGUUACGUGGACACGAGCAGAGCGCAUAAGCUAGUCAUACAGGGUUACAGCUUCACCCGAAAGCAAAAACGGGAACGAUACAUGAUUUGGGAGUGUUGCCAGUCGAGGCCGUUGGGAUGCAAAGCAUCGGUAACCAUCUAUGUGACAGGAAACAAAGUGAAUAUGCGAGGAAUGCACAACCAUGCAAUUAUGACGCGAAGACAAAGACUGAGCUAGCGCAAACGGUUGAUGGAGGCACGCCUGCAGGAGCGUAUCUGGCGGAAAACCGAAAAAGAGAAGCGAUCUACUACAAUCAAUGGAAGACUAUAGUCAAGUUCAAACCGAAUUUGAAAUGCCACAUCCGGAGAUGGCUGGAGUGUCUGUACUGUAUAAGCGUAAUCCAGUCGAAAUAAUAGGCGACGAAAAACAUGCUAUAGGCCCCAGCAAAGACGUCAGCUUCGUAUUGCAAGGCAACCGUCGCAAACUGUAUGUCAAAGACCACUGCUACUACCGGAAACACACUUUGAAAAAUCACACACAGUGGCGUUGCACUGAAUACAGAGCCUACGGGUGCUUGGCUUCGGUGAAGGUCUCGCGAAACGGAUUACAAAUGAAUCUCCAAGGAGUGCACGACCAUCCCGUCAAGAAGGAGCAUCGUCGAGAAGGCCAGCUGAGAGAACUUAUGGAGAAACGAAAGCAAACGGUUAACGAACGAAAGCAACAGCGCCGAAAAUAAACUUGCAACAGCAUUGAAUCAAAUAUACCUACCCUUUUGAAUAAUUUUAAUCUUGUUUGAAUGUUUCUGCGUGUAGCUUUUUGAUCUGCAAGUGCCGCCAUCAUUCACUGUUGGUUCAAUUUCAGAGCUGCCGAAGUCGUUUUUCGUUCUGAGUGGCCGAGGAAAUCUCCAACUGUCGAUCGAUGGAUACGUGUUCACGCAAGAGCUGGUCAAGAACAACGACAUAGAUUGGGCUUGUUCGCAAUCAAAAGCUUUGCGCUGUAAAGUUCGCGCGACGACAUCUCGUGAGACAGAUCGCAAAGUGCUCUCGAUCCGAGGCGAACACAAUCACGGGAUAAUUACUGAACGUCGGAAAAGCGGUGCCUUGAAGGCUCUGCUGGAACAACGCAAGAAAGAGCGCGAUGAACGACGAAUGAGAUUGGGAGGAGUUUUUUCAUCACCAGUCUAGAAAUCUUUAUUGGAUAAAUAAAUACUACACGAUAAUAAUGAAUUGUUUGAUUAUAAUCUGAUUGAAGCAAUAGAUUUGUUGGUGGUUUCACCUCUACUUACCUAUUUUGACCUACUUUUCAUCUCGUUUAUAGUUGCAUAUUGUUUCCAUGACGCCUCAGAAGCAGUAAGAAAACCAAACGUUCAGUAUUCAUUGAGUAACAAAGGCACCCUGGUGCUGUUACUGGAUGGAUUCUCUUUCUUCAAGGAAAAAGCACGCAACGGUUCUACCUUUUGGCGAUGCUCGCAGUAUUUUGCGCUCAAGUGCCGAGCUCGCGUUCGCAUGCCGCUUCCACCGAACGAUGAAAAUCUAGUUCGCCAAGGAGAACAUAAUCACAUCUCCGAACGACGCAAAUAUGGCUCUCUGAAAAACAAUAUAAAAAACGAUCAAGAAAUUACGCAGCACCAUGAGAUCUCUGACAAGGGGUUGCUCAGUAAAUGAUAUGCCAUUUUAAAUAUGCGUAACAAGAUUACCAAAGAGAAAUUCGAUGAAAAAUGUUAUAUUGUAGUACUAGAACACGUGUGUAUUAUUUUCAUUUCAGUUCGUUUCUCAAUGUUACACACGGAUGAACUAAUCUUUGUCGUGCAUUCGUUUCAUUUAUUUCCUGCUUGUCUCUGGCCUGAUUCCCCUUCCGACAGAAAAUGGAACCAAACCAUACGUCCAAUAUACGAUUAGUAAUCGUGGAACUCCAUUGCUAAUGCUGGAUGGAUUCGCCUUCACCAGGGAUAAAGUACGCAACAGUGUUACCUCAUGGAGAUGUUGUCAACACCGUACACUUAGGAACGCUCUAGAUUCUAGUACUACAUGGGGUAUGCCUUAAUAUUCUUUGAUUUCUUUCAGCUGCAAAGCUCGCGCCAACGCCGUCCGGGAUCGCAGUGGCCAAAAGAAAAUCGUCAUCAAACGCUUUCACAAUCAUCCGCUUGUAACCGAGCGUAAAGAGAAAUGUUCCUUAAAAUAAAAUUAUGCGCUACUUCUAGUACCUCAGCAACAGUUAGCUCAAAGCGAAAUAAGCCGUGUUUCAAUUUUCUCUUUUGUUUACAGUUUUUCUAUAUCGUCCGUUGAAAUCUAUCUCCUAACAAGAACAUUUGAUCUGCAUUCUAGGGAUGGUGACGUACACUACAAGCCGUCGAGGUCGUCGACAGAUCUGCUACUUCGGACACUCAUUCGAGAUGGAAAAGGAACGGAAAGGGUCCACCAGCUGGCGGUGCGGUCAGGCAAAGCCUCUUAAAUGCAAGGCCAGAAUUAUCGAGCGAAUUUCAAAGUACGGCGACCCAAUGUAUGAAAUUGUGCGUUCGACGCAUAAUCACGACAUUAUAACUGAGAGAAGGCGACGAGGGUGGUUGAAAGGUUAUAAUGAGCUAUCAAUAAUGAAAAAAGAGGAACAAUAAAUUCACAGUUUCUUGGCAUGUAAUCUAGUACUACUUUUUGGAAUUAAAUUGUUACAAUGGACUCAAGUAGUUCUUCACUACAAACCUGUUUUGGCGAGUAAUCUAGUACAACCCAUCUAUAUAAUUUAGAACAAUUUGACUGGCUUUAUAGACCUGGAAUUACAAUCUAGUACAACUACCCGAGCAGAAGGGCAUACCUUACAAAUACCAUGCGAAGAGCAACAUGUGCUCUAAUACCUAAAAUUGUUAUUGCUGCGUUAUUGUACGAAAUGGUAUGAGAACAUCAUAAUAACAGUUGGAGGUAUUUGAGCAGAGUUUGGUAUUGAUGUAGUAUUUGUUAGUUUAGCAGUGAAAAUAACCGAAGAACAAGAUUUGCUAUUACAUCAUGAAGUCAUUGAACAUAUGGUCGGCGUUCAGUCAGAGUGGACUACGCGAUUUUUGUGGCAGGUACAGAUAAGCUGAGGAAUUCUUUAAACCUAAACUUUUCGACGUUUUUUAAUGAAGAUGUGUCAUUACAUAAAGGAAUAAUAGUAUUUCUGAAAAUAAUGCCAGAGAUAUUAUAUUUUAAGCGUUUGCAGGACGUUUUCUCGAAAUCAUUGAAAAACAGAUGGUCCGGACUGACUUAAAGCCGACCAUAUGAAACAUUUAAUAAUAAGAAAUGUUAUUAGUUUGUUAUUCAAUAACUUUGGAAUAACAAAUACAGCAAUUGAAAUUUUAGGUAUGCAUUCAUUAUUGAAAUAACAAGACUUGUUAUUUUCUAGGUGUUAUUUAUACAAAAUUUUGGUAUUCGUUUUUGUUAUUUUGCCUCUUAUUACCACCUAAUAAAGGGCAUAUCAAGGUAUGGUAGUAUUUAAGAUAAAUACCUUGAUAUGUUAUUCACUUGUUAUUUUCUUCUGCUCGGGUAUACAGCUCAAUGUAUAUUCCAGUAGCAACAAAAUAAUCAACUUUUGAACUAUUAUAGGACACUGUUACGGUUCGGCGGAGUACUCAAUCAGCCUCAAAGGCUCCCUGCAGUUGAUGGUGCAGGGAUUUCCGUACACUCGCCAUAGCUGCAAGGGCGGUAAGGUCUACUGGCGGUGCGUGCAGUUCAUGUCACUUGGCUGUCGGUCUAGGGUUCGUACUCACCAGGAGCUGAUCGAGUCGAUAGAGCACGAACACAAUCACGAUCGAAUGUUGGCCAGGCGUAAACGAGGAGCUUUAAAGCAGUUGAUGCAAGAGAGGAAGCGCGAGAAAUCUCUUGUUGCACUGGAUCAGUGUGACUUGGUUGAACUUGACUGGGUUGAAUAAAAGUUUCUGUUGCUAGAUGACCUUGCUGGAUUGUUGAUGUCAAUAAUAACUCUGAAAAAAAAAAAAAUGUGUGACUGUAGAAUGUGACGGAGUUUCGUCUUUCAGAACCUAUCUCAUUGAUACAGGUGAUUACCGUAGUACCAGACGAAGCGGAACCUCAUCCCUAUAGCUAUAACUAUCGUGGAAAUCUUGUGUAUGAUAAGUACACCUUUUCCAAAAUGGCGGCUCACGGGACGGGCAACAUUGUCUACUGGAGGUGCACGGGCUAUCGUAAGCAUAAGUGUAGAGCUACAUUGAAAACGCGAGGCAAGGAGUUGAUCGUGGUUCGCCAGGACCAUAACCAUGAGCCCUUCGUGAAGGGAAGCGUUUUCACUUCCGAUUUGCCAAUUUGGAAGGAAACAACGGGAUCUAACGCUUCUUAAAAUUUACCGUUUUACUCUUUGCUAUGAUGCCACAUUGGAAUUUACCUAAUAAUAAUUACAAGAACAAUACAUUACAUUUUUGCAAACAAUAAUCUUCAUUGUUUUUCUACCAUACCAUUAAUAUAAUCUUGCGUUCUAGUACUACACAACUUCAUACUAACGUUACACUUGUAUUUCUCCAGGAAAACUUCUGUCGAUUUCGACAAUGCCGCUCAUAUUGAAAAAGAUCAAAGUCAAGCGUACAAAACCGCCAUCUCCGUUGAAAUCCGUUCCUGCAAUGAAUGCCCCCUCUGAACGUCCGACCGUGGUAAGCGCCGAUCCGGAUCAACUGCUCAGGCUGGACAACAGUACAAUUUCCAAAGACAAUAUCGUCAAGCAGCUAUCGAACGGCCAUGCUCUAGUACUGCUGAAAAGGACACGCGUCAAAGGUUUUUGUGUGAGCUGUAUUCGUUCCAUGCAGGAUCCGGAGUACAAGAAGAAGUUGAACAAAAUUAUUACCUACUGCUCGGGAUGCCCCGGUGGGCAGUGGAUCUGUGAAGCGUGUUUUGAUUCCAGUCACGAUAUAAAGAACUAAAUGAAUAAAAAUUUAAAUUACCUAGCUGCUAUCGAUAGUUAUUUCCUUUUGUGAUUCUUUUUUAUCAAUACUUUUCAAAACUAACAGAGUUCCAAUCAUUUUCAGGUAAAGCUCUGUUCCAGAUCGGCAACCGAAACUCGCUGAAGCUUUUCUACAGCGGACACUUCUACACAAGGUCCUACACGGCGGAAAAAUCAAGCAAGUGGGUCUGCGACAGGAAAAACAUGCUCAAAUGCAAAGCUCGAAUACGCCUGAACCGAGACAAAACUUGUGACGUGCUGAACGCCAAUCACAACCAUCCGGCUCGAAACCCUAGAACUAUCGGAAUGCUGAUCGAUUUUACCGAUCGAGAUUUGAGCACCAUGCUCCAAAAGGAUGCCGUCAAAGAAUUUCCCAAUCCUAAUCAUUGCAAAAUCACCAAAAAAUAAAAUAAAAUGAAUGAAUCAACCAACAUUUUUAACUGUCCACAUUCUAUUACUUCAUCUUACGAAUCGUAGCGUGACACUUCACUAAAACCUCUCCUUGACUUUUCGUUCCAGUGCACAAGAUCAUGAAACUACAGAAACGACUCUACUACCUCAAAAAGGUGUCCGGAGAGUUUGUUCAACACGGAGAAAAUCCAGUUUCUUCGCAGAUUGAGUACUUGCAACGCGAUCUGGAUGUGCUUACGGGGACUCUACCGAAAAUGGAGAACGCUCCGGAUUGUAAGCCAUCUUCCGUUCCGGGAUUCGAGUUUCCUUUGACCGAGCAGGAGGAAAUUGAACGCUUGGAGGCGGAGGUGCGAAACGAUCCGUAUGUCCGGUGCCAAUAUGUGAACUAUCUUAUCAACAAAAAGCCAGCGCCGAUGAAUCUAAUACAGUUUCUACCAAUGGUGUUUUCCGAUGAGGCCCUUAUUGCCUACAACUAUCAUGGUUCGCAUGCUUCCGGAAAAUCUAAGCAUUCGAUGAAGGCGUACACCAUUUUUUCGGAAUGCUUUUUGGAAGCCUUCGAAGGAGAAGGAUUGGAUAUGGACACAUUGACCAAGCAGCUGGUAAUGGCCAUCAAACAGAGCCGGAACCGUAUGCGGCAACGUACAUUCCGAGCGAAGAAGACGCUACAACGAACCAGCAGCGACAAGGGUUCUGAGUGAUUAGUGUGGAAUGGGAUGUCUUGCUUUCAGAAUUUAAAGUACAUUCAAUAAAAUUGAGAAGAAGUGAA